This 552-nucleotide ribosomal RNA is filed under the name uncultured bacterium. RNAcentral describes it as "partial 16S ribosomal RNA". It matches the Rfam family "Bacterial small subunit ribosomal RNA", at positions 355 to 899 of the family's 1533-position model. The record is from RNAcentral.
UGGGGAAUUUUGGACAAUGGGCGCAAGCCUGAUCCAGCCAUGCCGCGUGCGGGAAGAAGGCCUUCGGGUUGUAAACCGCUUUUGUCAGGGAAGAAAUCUUCUGAGUUAAUACCUCGGGAGGAUGACGGUACCUGAAGAAUAAGCACCGGCUAACUACGUGCCAGCAGCCGCGGUAAUACGUAGGGUGCAAGCGUUAAUCGGAAUUACUGGGCGUAAAGCGUGCGCAGGCGGUUUUGUAAGACAGAGGUGAAAUCCCCGGGCUCAACCUGGGAACUGCCUUUGUGACUGCAAGGCUUGAGUGCGGCAGAGGGGGAUGGAAUUCCGCGUGUAGCAGUGAAAUGCGUAGAUAUGCGGAGGAACACCGAUGGCGAAGGCAAUCCCCUGGGCCUGCACUGACGCUCAUGCACGAAAGCGUGGGGAGCAAACAGGAUUAGAUACCCUGGUAGUCCACGCCCUAAACGAUGUCAACUGGUUGUUGGGAAGGUUCCCUUCUCAGUAACGUAGCUAACGCGUGAAGUUGACCGCCUGGGGAGUACGGCCGCAAGGUUGAAA